RNAcentral lists this long non-coding RNA (639 nucleotides) under Pan troglodytes (chimpanzee). RNAcentral's name for it is "long non-coding RNA NONPTRT012985". Lineage: Eukaryota; Metazoa; Chordata; Mammalia; Primates; Hominidae. The record is from RNAcentral.
UUUAAGUGGAAACUCUUGCCAACAAACACCAGCUGUACUGUGAUCUUUUACUGCUGUCUUAUUUCACUAUUCAACAGCUUCCUUCUCCCUUCCUAUCCUAACUUGGAAUACGUAGUGAGAAUUUCAGACCUCAGUACGUAUUUUGGAGUGUCUUAAAAAUUAUACAGUUGCCAUGAUAAGGUGACAUUGGUCUAGGCAAUGAGUUUUUUUGGAUAUGACAAAAAAGCAUAGGCAACAAAAGCAAAAAUAGACAAGUGGGAUUAUAUCAAACUAAAAGCUUCCACACAAGCCACUGUGCCUGGCCCACCUGUUUUAAUUGCACUUAACUUUAUUGUGUGUUUCACAUCUUUUUGAUAGAGGUUCAAGACUACAGUAUCUCUUUUUUUUUUUUUUUUUGAGACAGAAUGUCACUCUAUCACACAGGCUGGAGUGCAGUAGUACAAUCUUGGCUUACUGCAACCUCUAUCUCCCAGUUCAAGUGAUUCUCAUGCCUCAGUCUCCCAAGUAGCUGUGAUUACAGGUGCAUGCUACCUCAUCUGCUAAUUUUUGUAUUGUUAGUAGAGACUGGGUUUCACCACGUUGGCCAGGCUGGUCUCGAACUCCUGACUUCAGGUCAAAAUUGCAGUAUCUUAAUCUCUA